This 253-nucleotide ribosomal RNA is filed under the name uncultured bacterium. Its description in RNAcentral is "partial 16S ribosomal RNA". It matches the Rfam family "Bacterial small subunit ribosomal RNA", at positions 524 to 776 of the family's 1533-position model. The record is from RNAcentral.
UACGUAGGGUGCGAGCGUUGUCCGGAAUUAUUGGGCGUAAAGGGCUCGUAGGCGGUUUGUCGCGUCGGGAGUGAAAUCCACUGGCUUAACUGGUGGCUUGCUUUCGAUACGGGCAGACUGGAGGUAUGCAGGGGAGAACGGAAUUCCUGGUGUAGAGGUGAAAUUCGUAGAUAUCAAGCGGAACACCGGUGGCGAAGGCGGCCUUCUGGACAGUGACUGACGCUGAGACGCGAAAGCGUGGGGAGCAAACAGG